This 143-nucleotide ribosomal RNA is filed under the name uncultured eukaryote. RNAcentral's name for it is "partial 18S ribosomal RNA". It matches the Rfam family "Eukaryotic small subunit ribosomal RNA", at positions 1299 to 1458 of the family's 1831-position model. The record is from RNAcentral.
UGGUGGAGCGAUUUGUCUGGUCAAUUCCGAUAACGAACGAUACUCUAGCCUACUAAAUAGUUCGGGGACCCCCACAAAGGGGCCCCGCUUCAACUUCUUAGAGGGACAGGUGGCGUUUAGCCACACGAGAUUGAGCAAUUACA